UAGUAGCCAGCGUUAAUCUAGCUUGGAGUAGACUUAUCCGGAGACGGAGGUGAGCACACGGCGUUUUGUACUAUUUCAGUCUCCAUCUGUAUAUAUAGACUUGUCUUUUUCCUUUCGAGACAGUCCAGUCUCUGUUGUCCGGUUUUAGGACUUGUACUCAUUUUGUAGUAGCUCUGUACUAGUGACUUCCAGGUUCUGGGAGAGAUCUUUAUUUGUAUAUAUGUUUUUGGUUUGCGU
Molecule: long non-coding RNA, 237 nt
Filed under: Solanum tuberosum (potato)
Lineage: Eukaryota; Viridiplantae; Streptophyta; Magnoliopsida; Solanales; Solanaceae
Description: long non-coding RNA (STUB_LNC010717)
Source: RNAcentral